This 498-nucleotide ribosomal RNA is filed under the name uncultured bacterium. RNAcentral describes it as "partial 16S ribosomal RNA". It matches the Rfam family "Bacterial small subunit ribosomal RNA", at positions 30 to 523 of the family's 1533-position model. The record is from RNAcentral.
AUUGAACGCUGGCGGCAUGCUUUACACAUGCAAGUCGAACGGUAACAGGCCGCAAGGUGCUGACGAGUGGCGAACGGGUGAGUAAUGCAUCGGAACGUGCCCAGUCGUGGGGGAUAACGCAGCGAAAGCUGUGCUAAUACCGCAUACGAUCUAUGGAUGAAAGCGGGGGACCGUAAGGCCUCGCGCGAUUGGAGCGGCCGAUGUCAGAUUAGGUAGUUGGUGGGGUAAAGGCUCACCAAGCCAACGAUCUGUAGCUGGUCGGAGAGGACGACCAGCCACACUGGGACUGAGACACGGCCCAGACUCCGAUGGGAGGCAGCAGUGGGGAAUUUUGGACAAUGGGCGUAAGCCUGAUCCAGCAAUGCCGCGUGCAGGAAGAUGGCCUUCGGGUUGUAAUCUGCUGUUGUACGGAACGAAAAAGUUUGGGUUAAUACCCUGGGCCGAUGACGGUACCGUAAGAAUAAGCACCGGCUAACUACGUGCCAGCAGCCGCGGUAA